UGAUCUGCCUUAAACUGGAUCCGUAGAGCUGUAGCCGAUGACACAUCGCGAUAGCUAUAGCUCUUCGGGACCUGGGAAACUGGGUCUAAUACCGGAUAGGACCAUGCUUUAGUGUGUGUGGUGGAAAGUUUUUCGGUGCAAGAUGAGCCCGCGGCCUAUCAGCUUGUUGGUGGGGUAAUGGCCUACCGGCGACGACGGGUAGCCGGCCUGAGAGGGUGUACGACAGUUGGGACUGAGACACGGCCCAGACUCCUAAAUUCGCGCUGACAUCGGGAGGGGGAAUAUUGCACAAUGGGCGCAAGCCUGAUGCAGCGACGCCGCGUGGGGGAUGAAGGCCUUCGGGUUGUAAACUCCUUUCGCUAGGGAAGAAGCCUUUUUGGUGACGGUACCUGGAUAAGAAGCACCGGCUAACUACGUGCCAGCAUAGGGAGGGUUCCGCGUUGUCCGGAAGAGCACAUUCGCGAUAUAGAACUUACUGGGCGUAAAGAGCUCGUAGGUGGUUUGUCGCGUCGUCUGUGAAAUCCCGGGGCUUAACUUCGGGCGUGCAGGCGAUACGGGCAUAACUAGAGUGCUGUAGGGGAGACUGGAAUUCCUGAACACCGAUGGCGAAGGCAGGUCUCUGGGCAGUUACUGACGCUGAGGAGCGAAAGCAUGGGUAGCGAACAGGAUUACCGGAUACCCUGGUAGUCCAUGCCGUAAACGGUGGGCGCUAGGUGUGGGGGUUUUAUUCGAUUCCCGUGCCGUAGCUAACUAGACGCAUUAAGCGCCCCGCCUGGGGAGUACGGCCGCAAGGCUAAAACUCAAAGGAAUUGACGGGGGCCCGCACAAGCGGCGGAGCAUGUGGAUUAAUUCGAUGCAACGCGAAGAACCUUACCUGGGCGACAUACACACGCUGCGGAUCGCUGCAGAGAUGUGAGUUUCCCUUGUGGCUGGUGUACAGGUGGUGCAUGGUUGUCGUCAGCUCGUGUCGUGAGAUGUUGGGUUAAGUCCCGCAACGAGCGCAACCCUUGUCUUGUGUUGCCAGCACGUUAUGGUGGGGACGCGAGAGACUGCCGGGGUUAACUCGGAGGAAGGUGGGGAUGACGUCAAAUCAUCAUGCCCCUUAUGUCCAGGGCUUCACAGGAUCCAGCUACAAUGGUCGGUACAGUGGGUUGCGAUACCGUGAGGUGGAGCUAAUCCCUUAAAGCCGGUCUCAGUUCGGGGCCGUCUGCAACUCGACUCCAUGAAGUCGGAGUCGCUAGUAAUCGCAGAUCAGCAACGCUGCGGUGAAUACGUUCCCGAUUGCAUGGGCCUUGUACACACCGCCCGUCACGUCAUGAAAGUUGGUAACACCCGAAGCCAGUGGCCCAAACUUGUUAGGGAGCUGUCGAAGGUGGGAUUGCGAUUGG
This 1388-nucleotide ribosomal RNA is filed under the name Corynebacterium sp. ALK1. RNAcentral describes it as "bacterial SSU rRNA". It matches the Rfam family "Bacterial small subunit ribosomal RNA". The record is from RNAcentral. Lineage: Bacteria; Bacillati; Actinomycetota; Actinomycetes; Mycobacteriales; Corynebacteriaceae.